AAGUCGUAACAAGGUCUCCGUAGGUGAACCUGCGGAGGGAUCAUUAUAGAUUGGCCGAAAGGCCGUGUCUCAUCCACACACACCGUGAACGCAACACAGUCUGGCCCUUGAGCCGUGUCUCGGGACCUGGGCCGGACUCACACCAAACGAAAUGUAAAGAAUGUCAAUCAAUGUAACGAAAACAAAA
This 187-nucleotide unclassified non-coding RNA is filed under the name plant metagenome. RNAcentral describes it as "partial contains small subunit ribosomal RNA and internal transcribed spacer 1". The stretch from base 1 to 46 matches the Rfam family "Eukaryotic small subunit ribosomal RNA", at positions 1786 to 1831 of the family's 1831-position model. The record is from RNAcentral.